RNAcentral lists this ribosomal RNA (454 nucleotides) under uncultured bacterium. Its description in RNAcentral is "bacterial SSU rRNA". It matches the Rfam family "Bacterial small subunit ribosomal RNA", at positions 28 to 507 of the family's 1533-position model. The record is from RNAcentral.
GACGAACGCUGGCGGCGUGCCUAACACAUGCAAGUCGAACGAAGCAUAGCAAUAUGCUUAGUGGCGGACGGGUGAGUAACGCGUGAACAAUCUGCCCUGUACAAAGGAAUAGCCUCGGGAAACCGGGAUUAAAACCGUAUGACACUUUAGUAUCGCAUGAUAAGAAAGUCAAAUCGAAUAGAGGUAUGGGAUGAGUUCGCGUCUGAUUAGCUGGUUGGCGGGUAACGGCCCACCAAGGCGACGAUCAGUAGCCGGCCUGAGAGGGUGAACGGCCACACUGGAACUGAGACACGGUCCAGACUCCUACGGGAGGCAGCAGUGGGGAAUAUUGCACAAUGGAGGGAACUCUGAUGCAGCGACGCCGCGUGAGUGAAGAAGGUCUUCGGAUCGUAAAACUCUGUCCUUGGUGAAGAAAAGGACGGUAGCCAAGGAGGAAGCCCCGGCUAACUACGUG